GCCAGGCAUGGUGCCACAUGCCUGUAAUCCCAGUGGCUUGGGAAGCUGAGGCAGGAGAAUCUCGAGUUCAAAGCCAGCCUCAGCAACAGUGAGGCAUCUCGGUGAGACCCUGUCUCUA
This 118-nucleotide small RNA is filed under the name Marmota monax (woodchuck). Lineage: Eukaryota; Metazoa; Chordata; Mammalia; Rodentia; Sciuridae. The record is from RNAcentral.